Molecule: unclassified non-coding RNA, 277 nt
Filed under: Hevea brasiliensis (rubber tree)
Lineage: Eukaryota; Viridiplantae; Streptophyta; Magnoliopsida; Malpighiales; Euphorbiaceae
Source: RNAcentral
GUUGUCAUCCACAAGCCUUUGAAAGGUAAUGAUUCAGAUGUGCUGUGUAGCGAAGCCAGGAAUGUGAUAAAGGAUGUGCUCAUUCAUCAAGGCUGAGGGAGUUGUUCAACAUGUACUUUCACGUUUAUCUUUUCCACUUAAGCAUCGCAAGUUGGGAUUCAGGGAAUAUGUGCAUACAGAACUUGGUCACAUCAUGAGCAGUUUCAUUCAGGCUUAAGGAUUUUUACCUGGUUCUGUAUACUCUCUUAUGCCUGGAUGAUAUUUGUAUCAGUCAACU